Molecule: long non-coding RNA, 286 nt
Filed under: Homo sapiens (human)
Lineage: Eukaryota; Metazoa; Chordata; Mammalia; Primates; Hominidae
Description: family with sequence similarity 106 member A
Source: RNAcentral
ACGGGGUUUCUCCAUGUUGGUCAGGCUGGUCUGGAACUCUCAACCUUAGGUGAUCUGCCUGCCUUGGCCGUCCAAAGUGCUGGGAUUACAGGCGUUGUAGAUGAGCAUGAGAGUGUGGAGCAGAGUUGGCGAGUGCAAGUCGAGCCCAUCAACCUGGACAGCUGUCUCCGUGCUUUCACCAGUGAGGAAGAGCUAGGGGAAGAUGAGAUAUACUACUGUUCCAAGUGUAAGACCCACUGCUUUAGCAACAAAGAAGCUGGAUCUCUGGAGGCUUCCACCCUUCCUG